This 428-nucleotide ribosomal RNA is filed under the name uncultured eukaryote. RNAcentral's name for it is "bacterial SSU rRNA". It matches the Rfam family "Eukaryotic small subunit ribosomal RNA", at positions 592 to 1018 of the family's 1831-position model. The record is from RNAcentral.
CAAUAGCGUAUAUUAAAGUUGUUGCAGUUAAAACGCUCGUAGUCGGAUUUCGGGGCGGGCCGACCGGUCUGCCGUUGGGUAUGCACUGGCCGGCGCGUCCUUCCUUCCGGAGACCGUGCCUUCUCUUAACUGGGCGGGUUCGGGAGACGGAACGUUUACUUUGAAAAAUCAGAGUGUUUCAAGCAGGCAGCUCGCUCUUGCAUGGAUUAGCAUGGGAUAAUGAAAUAGGACUUUGGUGCUAUUUUGUUGGUUUCGAACACCGAGUAAUAGAUAACUAAGGGACGAGUCAGGGGCGACUCGUAUUCCGUCCGACGAGAGGUGAAUUACUCAGACCAGCGGAAGACGAACCACUGCGAAGACAUUGUCCAGGAGUGUUUUCUACUGAUCAAGAACGAAAGUUAGGGGAGUCGAAGACGAUUAGAUACCAU